UACCGUACUGCAAACCAACUCAGGUGGUCCAGUAUAUAUACUCAGGCCAUAGAAUCAACCAUGACUAAGAAACUCGGCAAAAUACACGCGUGACUUCGGAGGAAGCGUGACUAAAUAGACUCAGAAAAUAGCCGACAGCGACUGUUUACCAAAAACACAAGAAAGUGCAAACAUUUUUACCGGGACAAGAAAUUGUCUUAUAAUUGACUGUAUACUUUCUGAUGCCUGCCCAAAGGCGAAGGCAAACGGCGGCGGUAACUCUAACCGUCCUAAGGUAGCGAAAUUCCUUGACGUUUAAUUGGCGUCCUUGCAUGAAUGGCUGAACGACUGUCGGGCUGUCUCAGUCAUGGGAUCUGUGAAUUUGAAAUCUUCGUGCAGAUGCGAAGAUGCUGGCAAGGGACGAAGAGACCCUAUGCAGCUUCGCUGGGUGAUAGGAGUUGGUCGCGUAUAGCUGUAGUGGGUUCACAAAUAAUGACUUAAAAAAUCAUAACCACUUACUUCUAGACAUUUACUCCAAUCCUCAAGCUUCUCUGGGACGGAGGCCCUCUAAAUUGUAACGGGGGUUAACAACGGUACUUCUUAAACUGAAAUAGAAAAGUUGUGCUUGACUGCAAGAACCACAUUUCGAGCAGGUACGAAAGUAGGUAUUAAGGACCCUGGAUACCUUUAUUUA
Molecule: ribosomal RNA, 673 nt
Filed under: Edaphochlamys debaryana
Lineage: Eukaryota; Viridiplantae; Chlorophyta; Chlorophyceae; Chlamydomonadales
Description: large subunit ribosomal RNA
Rfam family: Bacterial large subunit ribosomal RNA
Source: RNAcentral